UGGAGUUAGAUAUCAACACGGCC
This 23-nucleotide non-coding RNA is filed under the name Cricetulus griseus (Chinese hamster). Lineage: Eukaryota; Metazoa; Chordata; Mammalia; Rodentia; Cricetidae. The record is from RNAcentral.